Molecule: ribosomal RNA, 429 nt
Filed under: Actinomycetes bacterium
Lineage: Bacteria; Bacillati; Actinomycetota; Actinomycetes
Description: Actinobacteria bacterium partial 16S ribosomal RNA
Rfam family: Bacterial small subunit ribosomal RNA
Source: RNAcentral
UAGGGAAUCUUCCGCAAUGGGCGAAAGCCUGACGGAGCAACGCCGCGUGAGUGAUGAAGGUCUUCGGAUCGUAAAACUCUGUUAUUAGGGAAGAACAAAUGUGUAAGUAACUAUGCACGUCUUGACGGUACCUAAUCAGAAAGCCACGGCUAACUACGUGCCAGCAGCCGCGGUAAUACGUAGGUGGCAAGCGUUAUCCGGAAUUAUUGGGCGUAAAGCGCGCGUAGGCGGUUUUUUAAGUCUGAUGUGAAAGCCCACGGCUCAACCGUGGAGGGUCAUUUGAAACUGGAAAACUUGAGUGCAGAAGAGGAAAGUGGAAUUCCAUGUGUAGCAGUGAAAUGCGCAGAGAUAUGGAGGAACACCAGUGGCGAAGGCGACUUUCUGGUCUGUAACUGACGCUGAUGUGCGAAAGCGUGGAGAUCAAACAGG